Molecule: ribosomal RNA, 727 nt
Filed under: Bacillus pumilus
Lineage: Bacteria; Bacillati; Bacillota; Bacilli; Caryophanales; Bacillaceae
Description: bacterial SSU rRNA
Rfam family: Bacterial small subunit ribosomal RNA
Source: RNAcentral
GACGGUUUCGGCUGUCACUUACAGAUGGACCCGCGGCGCAUUAGCUAGUUGGUGGGGUAAUGGCUCACCAAGGCGACGAUGCGUAGCCGACCUGAGAGGGUGAUCGGCCACACUGGGACUGAGACACGGCCCAGACUCCUACGGGAGGCAGCAGUAGGGAAUCUUCCGCAAUGGACGAAAGUCUGACGGAGCAACGCCGCGUGAGUGAUGAAGGUUUUCGGAUCGUAAAGCUCUGUUGUUAGGGAAGAACAAGUGCGAGAGUAACUGCUCGCACCUUGACGGUACCUAACCAGAAAGCCACGGCUAACUACGUGCCAGCAGCCGCGGUAAUACGUAGGUGGCAAGCGUUGUCCGGAAUUAUUGGGCGUAAAGGGCUCGCAGGCGGUUUCUUAAGUCUGAUGUGAAAGCCCCCGGCUCAACCGGGGAGGGUCAUUGGAAACUGGGAAACUUGAGUGCAGAAGAGGAGAGUGGAAUUCCACGUGUAGCGGUGAAAUGCGUAGAGAUGUGGAGGAACACCAGUGGCGAAGGCGACUCUCUGGUCUGUAACUGACGCUGAGGAGCGAAAGCGUGGGGAGCGAACAGGAUUAGAUACCCUGGUAGUCCACGCCGUAAACGAUGAGUGCUAAGUGUUAGGGGGUUUCCGCCCCUUAGUGCUGCAGCUAACGCAUUAAGCACUCCGCCUGGGGAGUACGGUCGCAAGACUGAAACUCAAAGGAAUUGACGGGGG